RNAcentral lists this transfer RNA (73 nucleotides) under Canis lupus dingo (dingo). It matches the Rfam family "tRNA". Rfam says of the family: Transfer RNA (tRNA) molecules are approximately 80 nucleotides in length. The record is from Rfam by way of RNAcentral. Lineage: Eukaryota; Metazoa; Chordata; Mammalia; Carnivora; Canidae.
GCCUGGCUGGCUCAGUUGGGAGAACAUGUGAUUCUUGAUCCUGGGGUUGUGGGUUCAAGUCCCAUGUUGGGUG